Molecule: long non-coding RNA, 792 nt
Organism: Ipomoea nil (Japanese morning glory)
Lineage: Eukaryota; Viridiplantae; Streptophyta; Magnoliopsida; Solanales; Convolvulaceae
Exons: 2
Source: RefSeq, a predicted model, not a curated record
AGGAAAACUUGGGCUACUGUUGCAAUUAUGUUCGUCCCACCGCUACCUCCAAUCACAGCAGCCAACUGAUUAUCCUAUCAAUAUUGCAGAAGGAACAGCUACUUAGAACAGAGGAAGAAAUGAAAAGAGUUCAUUCACAAUCAUCAAUGGAGAAUGUACCUUAAGAACAACGAUGGGGGUCAUGGAGGAUAAUGGUCUUUUGUUCGGGCUAAUGAAAUUGGCUGGAGAGGGAGGGAGCUUAUCGGGGGAUACUUCUGUAGGCGCUGAGAAAUCUCCCAUUUCGUUAUUGAGCACAAUGCCAGUUGAAGGAGACAUGACACCACCUCCAAAGACAUAGUUCACCGUGGUUGUCAUUGAUACUGCAUUUCGAUCAGCAUCUACGAUACAGAAGUGGCUGGUUCCAUGGUCUCGAAGCUGACUCCACCUGGAAAAAACGAAAGGAAGGUUUACAACCAUGAAAACUGUAAGGAGAACUCCAGAUAUUCUUUCCUCACCUUGGCAUAUAGUAUUCAGAUGGGAAAGUGGUGUUGUCAUAUAUCCGCUGUUGAAUCAUCUUUGCAAAAGACGGGGAAAGCAUGUCAUAGACAAUGCUACUGACAUUCACAAAGUCGGGAUCGCCAAGGUCCAUUCGUACACCAAGCAUGUGCUUCACCGCUUCAAUCAUGCGAUGCAGACCUAGAGGACCUUCUGCAGCAAUAGAACUUGGAUAGCUUUCUAGGACUUUAAGAAUCUGCAAUUCACCAAUGUACUACUUGUUUGUUUAGUCAAAUGAAACAAUUUAUGUUCACAAAA